GGGUUGUGAGGUUAAGCGACUAAGCGUACACGGUGGAUGCCCUGGCAGUCAGAGGCGAUGAAGGGCGUGCUAAUCUGCGAUAAGCGCCGGUAAGGUGAUAUGAACCGUUAUAACCGGCGAUACCCGAAUGGGGAAACCCAGUGUGACUCGUCACACUAUCAUUAACUGAAUCCAUAGGUUAAUGAGGCGAACCGGGGGAACUGAAACAUCUAAGUACCCCGAGGAAAAGAAAUCAACCGAGAUUCCCCCAGUAGCGGCGAGCGAACGGGGAGGAGCCCAGAGCCUGAAUCAGCAUGUGUGUUAGUGGAAGCGUCUGGAAAGGCGCGCGAUACAGGGUGACAGCCCCGUACACAAAAGCGCAUGUGCUGUGAGCUCGAUGAGUAGGGCGGGACACGUGGUAUCCUGUCUGAAUAUGGGGGGACCAUCCUCCAAGGCUAAAUACUCCUGACUGACCGAUAGUGAACCAGUACCGUGAGGGAAAGGCGAAAAGAACCCCGGCGAGGGGAGUGAAAAAGAACCUGAAACCGUGUACGUACAAGCAGUGGGAGCCCCACCACCAAAGCAUUUGCUGUACCGCGUUGACGGAGCGAAGCGACGUCAAACCGAUAAAACAGCAGUGUAAAGUGAGCCGCAGGGCGCUUUGCGCGACAGCGCAAAGGCAGGCGGUUUCGCGUAGCGAAAGCGAAUGCUUUGGGGUGGGGUGACUGCGUACCUUUUGUAUAAUGGGUCAGCGACUUAUAUUCUGUAGCAAGGUUAACCGAAUAGGGGAGCCGGAGGGAAACCGAGUCUUAAUUGGGCGUUAAGUUGCAGGGUAUAGACCCGAAACCCGGUGAUCUAGCCAUGGGCAGGUUGAAGGUUGGGUAACACUAACUGGAGGACCGAACCGACUAAUGUUGAAAAAUUAGCGGAUGACCUGUGGCUGGGGGUGAAAGGCCAAUCAAACCGGGAGAUAGCUGGUUCUCCCCGAAAGCUAUUUAGGUAGCGCCUCGUGAAUUCAUCUCCGGGGGUAGAGCACUGUUUCGGCUAGGGGGCCAUCCCGGCUUACCAACCCGAUGCAAACUGCGAAUACCGGAGAAUGUUAUCACGGGAGACACACGGCGGGUGCUAACGUCCGUCGUGAAGAGGGAAACAACCCAGACCGCCAGCUAAGGUCCCAAAGUCAUGGUUAAGUGGGAAACGAUGUGGGAAGGCCCAGACAGCCAGGAUGUUGGCUUAGAAGCAGCCAUCAUUUAAAGAAAGCGUAAUAGCUCACUGGUCGAGUCGGCCUGCGCGGAAGAUGUAACGGGGCUAAACCAUGCACCGAAGCUGCGGCAGCGACACUGUGUGUUGUUGGGUAGGGGAGCGUUCUGUAAGCCUGUGAAGGUGUGUCGUGAGGCAUGCUGGAGGUAUCAGAAGUGCGAAUGCUGACAUAAGUAACGAUAAAGCGGGUGAAAAGCCCGCUCGCCGGAAGACCAAGGGUUCCUGUCCAACGUUAAUCGGGGCAGGGUGAGUCGACCCCUAAGGCGAGGCCGAAAGGCGUAGUCGAUGGGAAACGGGUUAAUAUUCCCGUACUUGGUGUUACUGCGAAGGGGGGACGGAGAAGGCUAUGUUGGCCGGGCGACGGUUGUCCCGGUUUAAGCGUGUAGGUGUGUGUUCCAGGUAAAUCCGGUUCACUUUAACACUGAGGCGUGACGACGAGGCACUACGGUGCUGAAGCAACAAAUGCCCUGCUUCGGGAAAAGCCUCUAAGCAUCAGGUAACAUCAAAUCGUACCCCAAACCGACACAGGUGGUCAGGUAGAGAAUACCAAGGCGCUUGAGAGAACUCGGGUGAAGGAACUAGGCAAAAUGGUGCCGUAACUUCGGGAGAAGGCACGCUGACACGUAGGUGAAGUGAUUUACUCAUGGAGCUGAAGUCAGUCGAAGAUACCAGCUGGCUGCAACUGUUUAUUAAAAACACAGCACUGUGCAAACACGAAAGUGGACGUAUACGGUGUGACGCCUGCCCGGUGCCGGAAGGUUAAUUGAUGGGGUCAGCGCAAGCGAAGCUCCUGAUCGAAGCCCCGGUAAACGGCGGCCGUAACUAUAACGGUCCUAAGGUAGCGAAAUUCCUUGUCGGGUAAGUUCCGACCUGCACGAAUGGCGUAAUGAUGGCGGGCUGUCUCCACCCGAGACUCAGUGAAAUUGAACUCGCUGUGAAGAUGCAGUGUACCCGCGGCAAGACGGAAAGACCCCGUGAACCUUUACUAUAGCUUGACACUGAACAUUGAGCCUUGAUGUGUAGGAUAGGUGGGAGGCUUUGAAGUGUGGACGCCAGUCUGCAUGGAGCCGACCUUGAAAUACCACCCUUUAAUGUUUGAUGUUCUAACGUGGACCCGUUACCCGGGUUGCGGACAGUGUCUGGUGGGUAGUUUGACUGGGGCGGUCUCCUCCUAAAGAGUAACGGAGGAGCACGAAGGUUGGCUAAUCUGGUCGGACAUCAGGAGGUUAGUGCAAUGGCAUAAGCCAGCUUGACUGCGAGCGUGACGGCGCGAGCAGGUGCGAAAGCAGGUCAUAGUGAUCCGGUGGUUCUGAAUGGAAGGGCCAUCGCUCAACGGAUAAAAGGUACUCCGGGGAUAACAGGCUGAUACCGCCCAAGAGUUCAUAUCGACGGCGGUGUUUGGCACCUCGAUGUCGGCUCAUCACAUCCUGGGGCUGAAGUAGGUCCCAAGGGUAUGGCUGUUCGCCAUUUAAAGUGGUACGCGAGCUGGGUUUAGAACGUCGUGAGACAGUUCGGUCCCUAUCUGCCGUGGGCGCUGGAGAACUGAGGGGGGCUGCUCCUAGUACGAGAGGACCGGAGUGGACGCAUCACUGGUGUUCGGGUUGUCAUGCCAAUGGCACUGCCCGGUAGCUAAAUGCGGAAGAGAUAAGUGCUGAAAGCAUCUAAGCACGAAACUUGCCCCGAGAUGAGUUCUCCCUGAGACUUAGAGUCUCCUGAAGGAACGUUGAAGACGACGACGUUGAUAGGCCGGGUGUGUAAGCGCAGCGAUGCGUUGAGCUAACCGGUACUAAUGAACCGUGAGGCUUAACCUUACAACGCCGAAG
This 3062-nucleotide ribosomal RNA is filed under the name Salmonella enterica. RNAcentral's name for it is "23S ribosomal RNA". It matches the Rfam family "Bacterial large subunit ribosomal RNA". Lineage: Bacteria; Pseudomonadati; Pseudomonadota; Gammaproteobacteria; Enterobacterales; Enterobacteriaceae. The record is from RNAcentral.